AUCAGUGCAAACCACGUGAUCAUCCAUGGGAGCCGUGCAGAGUCGCUUAGAUAAUAAGAACCGCAGAAUCCGAGAUAACACGGUGUGCAGCUGGAUGAACUCAGCAGGUCAAGCAGCAUCAGAGGAGCAGGAAAGCUGACGUUUCGGGCCUAGAUCCUUUGCUGAGACCAAGAUUUUUGCAAUUGAGAUACCAGCGAUCGUUGCCAAAGCCCUGUUGCCUGUGGAGAACGUGAUGUUUAACUUUCGUGUCCUGCAGCAGUUCGUACAAUGAAGGUGCUCCCACAAUGCAGCCAUUUGAGAAGUUACAGAUCAUUGAUCUAGUGAUACUGAAGAGCUGAUGGUGAUAUUGCAAGUGGACUUUCAGGUGGGAAUCACAAUAAUUGUAACACCAAACUCUGACAGAAUUACUCAAUUCAUCAGGACCUGGAUAUUUGCAUUAUAUUUCCACAAUUUUACUUCUGCGCUGUUCUUAGUCUUUCAGAGGGAUUGAAAGGUUGAGUUACAGAUCUAUACAAUGCCUGUCCCACCUCUCCUUCUGUAAUUUUGUGCAAACAGAUUGGAUCGUUUACCUGGAUGAUAUUUAUUUGUGAAUGAAUUUGUUCUAAUGAUGAUCCAGCAUAUUUCCCAAGUGUCGCUCCACAAAUGUCCAGAGGAUUUCUCAGUUUCACAAUCUGUUUGCUUCUGGUUUCUCACUCACUGCACUUACUUUCUGUUUGAAAGCUUAGUCUGCAGUUUGGAGAAUUCAAACUGUUCCACAUCCAGGUCUGACAGUCACUUUGUUUAUCACAACCCAAUUAUCUCAGGAUUUUGAACAUUGAAGGAAAAAGCAGCAUUCACACUAGGGAGAAAUGCAUAUGGUUUGUGUGUCAAAGAGUCUGUGAAGAUUCAUCUGAAAUGUCCUAACACCAGCACAGUGAUACUGGGGAGAGACUGUGGAAAUGUGCGGAUUGCAGGAAGUAAUUUCUUCAUCCAUCCCAGCUAGAAACUGACCACCAGAGUCACACUGGAGAGAGACCAUUCACCCGCUCUGAUUGUGGAAUGGGAUUCACUCAGUCAUCAAACCUGCUUAAACACCAGGGAGUUCACACUGGAGAGAAACCAUUUACUUACUCGGAAUGUGGGAAAGCAUUCACUCGGACACCUCAACUGCUGAUACACCAGCAAAUUCACACUGGAGAGAGACCAUUGGCCUGUUGUGUGUGGGAAAGGCUUUGCUGACUUGAAUUCCCCUCUGACACACCAACAAGUUCACUCUGGGGAGAGACCAUUCAUGAGCUCUGAGUGUGGGAAAGCAUUCACUCAGUCAUCCAAACAGUGGUUCACAAAGAACCACAGUUGAAGGAUUUUGCUAUCACUCUCACGAUCAAAUGAACCAUGGUUUUGGGCUGUUUGUACUGAUGUUACUAAUCCCUGCUCAAUUAAAGGUGCUGGUAUUGUGAAUAAAAUGUUAAUAACAGUUGUAUAUCUGUCAGGUAGAGCUUGGAAAUAGUCACAUUGUCAUGACACAUCAACACAUUCACACUGACUAAAGACUAUCCACCUGCACAGCAUGUGAAAAGGGAUUUCCUGGUUCAUCAGGACUGGUUAACUAGCAGCAAAUUUGAGUAACUUUGUUUUUAUUUGAUUCUGCUGUUAGCUAUCUCCAAACCAUGUAUUUUUGCGCUUGUUUCUGGCAAUCGUAGAAUCCCUCCAGUGUGGAAGCAGACGAUUUGGCCCAUAAAGUCCACACUGAACUUACGAAGAGUGUCUUACCCAGACCCUGUCUGCGUCGGUUUCCUCUUACAGCCCAUAAAUGUGCAAAGUAGGUAGAUUGACUAUGCUAAAUUACCCUUAGUGUCUUGUGUGCAAAAUGCAAGGACAGAGUAGGGUGUGAGACUGGGUGGGAUGCUCUUUGGAGGGUUCAUGUGGACUCAAUGGACUGAAUGGCUAUCUUCCACACUGUAGGAAUUCUAUGAUAAUCUCGAUGGCCCUUUAUUUGUUAGUUAUGUCUGCACACCUUUUACAAUUACAGAUUCUAUUGCUCUCCACAGACACAUUUCAAAUUUUAAUAGAUAUUUGUUCAUUGGAAAUGAUGUAAUGUUUCCUUUUGAUUUUUAUCCACAAAAUUAAAGUUUUAAAUCUAAACAAAA
Stegostoma tigrinum is the source of this 2129-nucleotide long non-coding RNA. RefSeq lists it as uncharacterized. The record is from RefSeq and is a predicted model, not a curated record. The transcript has 4 exons. NCBI's taxonomy places the organism in Eukaryota, Metazoa, Chordata, Chondrichthyes, Orectolobiformes, Stegostomatidae.